This 674-nucleotide ribosomal RNA is filed under the name uncultured Clostridium sp. Its description in RNAcentral is "bacterial SSU rRNA". It matches the Rfam family "Bacterial small subunit ribosomal RNA", at positions 59 to 749 of the family's 1533-position model. Lineage: Bacteria; Bacillati; Bacillota; Clostridia; Eubacteriales; Clostridiaceae. The record is from RNAcentral.
AAGAAAUGAAGCUUCGGUAGAUUUUCAUUAUGGAAAGCGGCGGACGGGUGAGUAACGCGUAGGCAACCUGCCCUGUACAGGGGGAUAGCCACCCGAAAAGGUGAUUAAUACCCCAUGAUGCAAGAGAUACACAUGUAUCACUUGUCAAAGAUUUAUCGGUAUGGGAUGGGCCUGCGUCUGAUUAGCUAGUUGGUAGGGUAACGGCUUACCAAGGCAACGAUCAGUAGCCGACCUGAGAGGGUGAUCGGCCACAUUGGAACUGAGACACGGUCCAAACUCCUACGGGAGGCAGCAGUGGGGAAUAUUGCACAAUGGGGGAAACCCUGAUGCAGCAACGCCGCGUGAAGGAAGAGGGCCUUCGGGUUGUAAACUUCUGUCCUAGGGGAAGAAACAAAUGACAUUACCCUUGGAGGAAGCCCCGGCUAACUACGUGCCAGCAGCCGCGGUAAUACGUAGGAGGCGAGCGUUAUCCGGAAUUAUUGGGCGUAAAGAGUGCGUAGGUGGCAUCUUAAGCGCAGGGUUUAAGGCAAUGGCUCAACCACUGUUCGCCUUGCGAACUGGGGUGCUUGAGUGCAGGAGUGGAAAGUGGAAUUCCUAGUGUAGCGGUGAAAUGCGUAGAUAUUAGGAGGAACACCAGUGGCGAAGGCGACUUUCUGGACUGUUACUGACGCUGA